This is a long non-coding RNA of Oreochromis aureus, 1306 nucleotides long. The record is from Ensembl. NCBI's taxonomy places the organism in Eukaryota, Metazoa, Chordata, Actinopteri, Cichliformes, Cichlidae.
AUAACUCGUCAGUGAAGUGUGACAGGAUGAAGUCUCAAAAGGUUCGCAGACGCCCCGAGUCUUGCCACUCUUAUCACGCGCAGGAGAACGCCGAUGACUGUGGAGGAGCCUCUUUUAUAUCUCCGUCAACCUCUGUUUUCUUCAUGUGUCUCGUUUUUGCUGCACUUGUUUCCCGAUGACGGAUAACUUCGCUCUUUUACGCUUCAUCAUAUAAAGGAAAGGAUGACAAAAACUGAAAUCCUUGAGUGGCUUUUUUUUUUAACUACUGAACAGAUUCUGCACAUUUUGCUCACAAAGGCGACAGACGCAAUCUCUCUUGAAGGACCUUGGAUGUUAUGAGCAUUUGCUGGUUAACUCCAGAGAAUUACAUUUGAACUAAAAGCUGCAAAAAAGAGAACUUGCUGUACUGUUGUUGCCAUGGAUACUUUUUUUCAUUUGUUAUUUUCUUAUGCUCCACAUUGUAUCUCUGAACGAAAAGGGACUGAAGGGUGACGGCUAGCUGUGAUGGGUGUUAAUGAAUAAGAAUUAAGGAUUCACACGGUACAACAUGAAAAAGUGAAAAGAGAAAAACAUGCAUUAUUCACUUCCCAUAUUCCAAUGAGCUGCAUAUUUAUCCACACACAUGCAUAUUAUAUAUGCGUUGGAUACAUCCAGUAAACACAUCUAAUGCAUUAUCUGCAGACUUUAUAAAUGCAGAAUAGCCAGUGAGAAGUGGCCUGCAGUAGGGCGAUAUAGGGAGACACUGUUGUGUUGCUAAUGAGUCAUGUUAAUAAUGGACAAGUUGACACUGGAUAAGGUAAAGUAGGCACAAUUGGACUCGAUGGCUAAUUAUCUGUGUAAAAUGAAUAUGCAAUAAAGUAAAAUAGAAUGGAGUUGUCAGCCUCUACGGGAACUAUGUUUUCACUUUUUAUUUCCAUCCUAUAAAUGUAUGUUUCUGUGACUAUUAUUUUUACAUAUCUGUCUGCCUUUUUUUGUCUUUUGUCUCUCUGUACAUACCAUAACUAAUUAUGUAUGUCUGGCUAAUGGGCUGUAAAUGCUGAAAUGAUAAAUGAGCUGAAGAUCGUCACACUCUAAAAAGGGAAUAUCUAACUUUUCACAUUAAAACAAUGCAUACAUGCAUUUGCAAUGUAUUUGGCACCAAGGAUUUACAUUUUUGAAAAAUUAUACAAAUGUUUUUGCAAUUAAAAAAUAUUUAUAGUUUUUUUUAAUAUGGUUUAUGAACGCUCUUCUUAAGGCUUUUUUUCUUCAUUUAAAAUGUAACUUUUAUAGCAAUGCUCGCUAUUAUAGCUCAGUCACUAAAAAUAAA